CCAAAUCACUGGAAAAUGUGCUGAAAUAUAAUAAAAAACAUAGGGCUCGACAAACUCUGGGCGCCAGGUCGCCAAGGAAACCAUUCCCUGGCGCCCAGUGUUAAGCAGGGCUGACAUAUUCGGUACCCUACGCUUUCCUGCAGGGGCAUGGUAUAACGGGGCUUAUGUAACGGGGCCCCCCCUACAGGAAAGGAGAGGAGUCCACAUUAGCGAGGUGCGUAGUUGUAUACUACGCCUUGAUUCAUUUCAUAGUUUUACAACUAAAUGAUUCAGUAGUCCUACUACUGAUAAAUGCCCAAAGAUUUUGUACUCGUCAUUUCAUUCAAUCAUAUUAAUCAUUUUGCUUAACAUGCUUUAAUUAGUUCUUCUGAAUUUCAAUUUAUUUUACUUUCAUAUACAAUUAACGCUGAAAUAGCCCCAACAUUUCUCUUCUAGUAUUCUCGUGUUCUGCGGUCUCCGUCAUAGAAGCCCUGGUCGAAAUGCUGGCAGCAGAUCCAGGUCUCUUGCAGCUCUGCUGGCAAUCUUAUAGUCAGACCUCUAUUUAACUGAACAUAUAACAACCAAACAGCUCUGUCUAUAUUAUUGCGUUAUUUUUCUUGCAGAUCUGCGGGGUAUUCUCCUCUCUGGAAGCUGGGGAAGGUCUGCGCGAUGCGCGUAAACAGCCUCAGCUGCUGCCUGCACUUUCGCCGGCGCUCGGUCAUAGAAGCCCCAGUGGAAGGGUAUUUUUCAGAGCAUUUGCUCUUAAAAAAAAAACAAAAAAAAAAAAAAACCCUUGUCUUAUAAUCAAGAAAAGAUGGUAUAUGGAAACGGGUAUUAGCUGGAUUAAUGUCUCGUCACAAAAAUGAAAGAGAUGUGGGAAAGAAUAUAGAGAAAAUACACAGCAUACAGUCUUGCUGCGAUUCCCGUGACUGUUAACUGGUAUAUCUUUGUCUUAAGUCUGUUUUUUCUUUGUUUUGUUUUGUCUAUAUUUGAAAAUGUAUUAAAGAUUAUUAAAUAAAUCAUGA
This is a long non-coding RNA of Spea bombifrons (plains spadefoot toad), 1004 nucleotides long. RefSeq lists it as uncharacterized. The transcript has 2 exons. NCBI's taxonomy places the organism in Eukaryota, Metazoa, Chordata, Amphibia, Anura, Pelobatidae. The record is from RefSeq and is a predicted model, not a curated record.